UGAGAUGUUGGGUUAAGUCCCGCAACGAGCGCAACCCUUGUUCUGUGUUGCCAGCAUGCCUUUCGGGGUGAUGGGGACUCACAGGAGACUGCCGGGGUCAACUCGGAGGAAGGUGGGGACGACGUCAAAUCAUCAUGCCCCUUAUGUCUUGGGCUGCACACGUGCUACAAUGGUCGGUACAAAGGGCUGCGAUGCCGUGAGGCGGAGCGAAUCCCAAAAAGCCGGCCUCAGUUCGGAUUGGGGUCUGCAACUCGACCCCAUGAAGUUGGAGUUGCUAGUAAUCGCAGAUCAGCAUGCUGCGGUGAAUACGUUCCCGGGCCUUGUACACACCGCCCGUAUCUUUU
This 344-nucleotide ribosomal RNA is filed under the name Kitasatospora cystarginea. Its description in RNAcentral is "bacterial SSU rRNA". It matches the Rfam family "Bacterial small subunit ribosomal RNA", at positions 1068 to 1404 of the family's 1533-position model. Lineage: Bacteria; Bacillati; Actinomycetota; Actinomycetes; Kitasatosporales; Streptomycetaceae. The record is from RNAcentral.